CAGGUUUUUAAUCAGAUGGUUGUCAUCUUCCACUCAUUUAAAGGUAGAUCUAUUAAUUUUAUAUAUGUAUUUUUAUGUGUUCUAUAAAAGUAGAUUUAUCUAAUCUUUUAGUCAUUUUAUCUGUUUUUAAGCCAACUGAACGUUUUUUGAUAUGCAGGUUUUUCAGAUCUGGAUUUGAUAUGCAGGUUUUUCAGAUCUGGAUGACUUCUG
Molecule: long non-coding RNA, 210 nt
Filed under: Brassica rapa (field mustard)
Lineage: Eukaryota; Viridiplantae; Streptophyta; Magnoliopsida; Brassicales; Brassicaceae
Description: long non-coding RNA (BRAP_LNC001434)
Source: RNAcentral